AGCGAACGCUGGCGGCAGGCCUAACACAUGCAAGUCGAACGAAGUCUUCGGACUUAGUGGCGGACGGGUGAGUAACACGUGGGAACGUGCCCUUUGGUACGGAAUAACUCAGGGAAACUUGAGCUAAUACCGUAUGUGCCCUUCGGGGGAAAGAUUUAUUGCCACUGGAGCGGCCCGCGUCUGAUUAGCUAGUUGGUGAGGUAAAGGCUCACCAAGGCGACGAUCAGUAGCUGGUCUGAGAGGAUGAUCAGCCACAUUGGGACUGAGACACGGCCCAAACUCCUACGGGAGGCAGCAGUGGGGAAUCUUGCGCAAUGGGCGAAAGCCUGACGCAGCCAUGCCGCGUGAAUGAUGAAGGUCUUAGGAUUGUAAAAUUCUUUCACCGGGGACGAUAAUGACGGUACCCGGAGAAGAAGCCCCGGCUAACUUCGUGCCAGCAGCCGCCGUAA
This 449-nucleotide ribosomal RNA is filed under the name uncultured bacterium. RNAcentral describes it as "partial 16S ribosomal RNA". It matches the Rfam family "Bacterial small subunit ribosomal RNA", at positions 29 to 523 of the family's 1533-position model. The record is from RNAcentral.